Molecule: ribosomal RNA, 440 nt
Filed under: uncultured bacterium
Lineage: Bacteria
Description: partial 16S ribosomal RNA
Rfam family: Bacterial small subunit ribosomal RNA
Source: RNAcentral
CCUACGGGUGGCAGCAGUGGGGGAUAUUGCACAAUGGGGGAAACCCUGAUGCAGCGACGCCGCGUGUGGGAAGACGGUCCUCUGGAUUGUAAACCACUGUUCCCAGGGACGAAGAGGACGGUACCUGGGGUGGAAGCUCCGGCUAACUACGUGCCAGCAGCCGCGGUAAUACGCAGGGAGCGAGCGUUGUCCGGAAUUACUGGGUGUAAAGGGAGCGUAGGCGGGGAUGCAAGUUGGGUGUCAAAACUACCGGCUCAACUGGGAGUCGCACUCAAAACUGGAGCUCUUGAGUGAAGUAGAGGCAGGCGGAAUUCGUGGUGUAGCGGUGAAAUGCGUAGAUAUUAGGAGGAACACCGGUGGCGAAGGCGGCCUGCUGGGCUUUUACUGACGCUGAGGCUCGAAAGCAUGGGUAGCGAACAGGAUUAGAUACCCUUGUAGUC